ACACUUUUAACUUAAUGGUAAAAGUAUCAAUCUUCGAAAUUGAAAAUAUAGGUUCGAAUCCUAUAAAGUGUG
RNAcentral lists this transfer RNA (72 nucleotides) under Schizosaccharomyces octosporus. Its description in RNAcentral is "tRNA-Arg". It matches the Rfam family "tRNA". From Rfam's summary of the family: Transfer RNA (tRNA) molecules are approximately 80 nucleotides in length. Their secondary structure includes four short double-helical elements and three loops (D, anti-codon, and T loops). Further hydrogen bonds mediate the characteristic L-shaped molecular structure. tRNAs have two regions of fundamental functional importance: the anti-codon, which is responsible for specific mRNA codon recognition, and the 3' end, to which the tRNAs corresponding amino acid is attached (by aminoacyl-tRNA synthetases). tRNAs cope with the degeneracy of the genetic code in two manners: having more than one tRNA (with a specific anti-codon) for a particular amino acid; and 'wobble' base-pairing, i.e. permitting non-standard base-pairing at the 3rd anti-codon position. Lineage: Eukaryota; Fungi; Ascomycota; Schizosaccharomycetes; Schizosaccharomycetales; Schizosaccharomycetaceae. The record is from RNAcentral.